GUCUACGGCCAUGCUACCCUGAACAAGCCCUAUCCCGUCUGAUCUUGGAAGCUAAGCAGGGUCGGGCCUGGUUAGUACUUGGAUGGGAGACCACCUAGGAAGACCAGGUGCUGUAGGCA
Molecule: ribosomal RNA, 119 nt
Filed under: Pteropus alecto (black flying fox)
Lineage: Eukaryota; Metazoa; Chordata; Mammalia; Chiroptera; Pteropodidae
Source: RNAcentral